RNAcentral lists this non-coding RNA (47 nucleotides) under Trichobilharzia regenti. The record is from RNAcentral. Lineage: Eukaryota; Metazoa; Platyhelminthes; Trematoda; Strigeidida; Schistosomatidae.
ACUAGCUGACGAGUCCCAAAUAGGACGAAAUCUGCGUUAUCCUGGAU